This 253-nucleotide ribosomal RNA is filed under the name uncultured microorganism. RNAcentral describes it as "partial 16S ribosomal RNA". It matches the Rfam family "Bacterial small subunit ribosomal RNA", at positions 524 to 776 of the family's 1533-position model. The record is from RNAcentral.
GACAGAGGUGGCGAGCGUUGCUCGGAUUUACUGGGCGUAAAGCGCACGUAGGCGGUGCGGUAAGUCAGGGGUUAAAGGCUGCAGCUCAACUGCAGUAAGGCCUUUGAUACUAUCGUGCUAGAGUGUCAGAGAGGAUGGCGGAAUUCCCGGUGUAGCGGUGAAAUGCGUAGAUAUAGGGAGGAACACCGGUUGCGAAGGCGGCUACCUGGCCGGUAACUGACGCUGAGGUGCGAGAGCGUGGGGAGCAAACAGG